GGGGUUUUAAGCUAGAAUCUCUUGCUUAAUUAUAAUUUUCACAAUAGAAUAAAUUACUACUACAAGGAUAGUUGAUAAAAUUAGUGUUUUACACCAUUUUAAUAGUAACAUAUCAAGUAAAUUUAAGAAAAAAAAAAUUAAGGGAUUAAAUUUUAACAUAUUAUGUAAUUAUUAGGGAUGAGAAAAAAAAAAUUAAAAA
Molecule: long non-coding RNA, 199 nt
Filed under: Panax ginseng (ginseng)
Lineage: Eukaryota; Viridiplantae; Streptophyta; Magnoliopsida; Apiales; Araliaceae
Description: long non-coding RNA (PGIN_LNC000656)
Source: RNAcentral